CUCCACAUCCAACGGCUGAUGCUGCAGUCUGUACCUUACAGAUUCUGUAAGCUAGUCGAGUCCUAAAAACAUUAUUUGCCUCCCUUCUCUCUGGCAUUUUUGUUCUGAUUAAUUUUGGUUUCAUGAAGUACAAGGAGGAUUGUUCUGAUUUUCAUAAGCCCCAAAAAAAUAGUGAGCUUUUUUUUAAAAAAUUAAUAUUUUUAUAAUAUUCAUGAUUUUUGUUAAUUUUUGUAUGAUCAAUAUAGCUCCAUAUUAAUUCUUGUAAGUUUGAUACUGUUGGUUUUAAUUAGGCUUCACAGUUCACACGAUGAAAGGUGUUCGUUUUGGACUCAAGGUGAGCUUUUUUUUUUUUUUUGGGUGAAAUUUAUCUAUCAUUUUCAUAAUAAUUAAAAAAAAAAAUUAUUCAUUGUUCUUACUCAAACAUGCUAGCUAGCAGUAUUUUUAUUUCUGACUGAUGUAAGGUGAUUUUAUUUUUCCUUACUUGCAACUGAUACUCCAUCAUCAAAGAUAUAAUUAUUAAAGCUAUCACCUUUAUCAUUUUUUUUCGCUAAUUAAUGUAUUAAAGACCAUUUUAUUAAAUAAAGCAUUAUCUGAAAAAAAAAUUAAGCUACAAAUUAAUAACUAUUUAGGUGAUGUGCAUUUAACUUUUCGUGACAUUUUUAAGUCCAAUUAGUAGAAUUUCCAUAACUUAACAAUUGUUACAAAAUAAAUAGCAAUAAUUAAUUUAGUAACAUUCAAGAAAUGCUACACAUUUUUAAGUUCAUUAUAAUGAUCUUUCACCUCUUGAAAUAUCGUGCAGAAAGACUUGUUAAGCCAUCGGAAUUGCAGAAUGAUUUCCCUUUUUGUCUGCCAACUAUUCAAUUAAAAAUGUCUACGGCAGCAUCUAUACAAAAGUUCGCUAAG
This 903-nucleotide long non-coding RNA is filed under the name Citrus x clementina. RNAcentral's name for it is "Citrus clementina (C. clementina) long non-coding RNA (CCLE_LNC002764)". Lineage: Eukaryota; Viridiplantae; Streptophyta; Magnoliopsida; Sapindales; Rutaceae. The record is from RNAcentral.